UACGUAGGCAGCGAGCGUUGUUCGGAAUUAUUGGGCGUAAAGAGCUCGUAGGCGGUUUGUCGCGUCUGCCGUGAAAGUCCGGGGCUCAACUCCGGAUCUGCAGUGGGUACGGGCAGACUAGAGUGUGGUAGGGGAGACUGGAAUUCCUGGUGUAGCGGUGAAAUGCGCAGAUAUCAGGAGGAACACCGAUGGCGAAGGCAGGUCUCUGGGCCACUACUGACGCUGAGAAGCGAAAGCAUGGGGAGCGAACAGG
Molecule: ribosomal RNA, 253 nt
Filed under: uncultured bacterium
Lineage: Bacteria
Description: partial 16S ribosomal RNA
Rfam family: Bacterial small subunit ribosomal RNA
Source: RNAcentral